CAGUCGCCACGGUAAAACGUAGGUGGCAAGCGUUAUCCGGAAUUAUUGGGCGUAAAGCGCGCGUAGGCGGUUUUUUAAGUCUGAUGUGAAAGCCCACGGCUCAACCGUGGAGGGUCAUUGGAAACUGGAAAACUUGAGUGCAGAAGAGGAAAGUGGAAUUCCAUGUGUAGCGGUGAAAUGCGCAGAGAUAUGGAGGAACACCAGUGGCGAAGGCGACUUUCUGGUCUGUAACUGACGCUGAUGUGCGAAAGCGUGGGGAUCAAACAGGAUUAGAUACCCCGCUAGUCCCUGUCUCUUAUAU
RNAcentral lists this ribosomal RNA (301 nucleotides) under uncultured bacterium. RNAcentral describes it as "partial 16S ribosomal RNA". It matches the Rfam family "Bacterial small subunit ribosomal RNA", at positions 509 to 809 of the family's 1533-position model. The record is from RNAcentral.